RNAcentral lists this non-coding RNA (456 nucleotides) under Megaselia scalaris. Its description in RNAcentral is "Bacterial large subunit ribosomal RNA". It matches the Rfam family "Bacterial large subunit ribosomal RNA", at positions 1870 to 2325 of the family's 2925-position model. Lineage: Eukaryota; Metazoa; Arthropoda; Insecta; Diptera; Phoridae. The record is from Rfam by way of RNAcentral.
UGGAAGGUUAAGUGGAUGAGUUAGCUUCGGCGAAGCCCAGAAAUGAAGCCCCAGUAAACGGCGGCCGUAACUAUAACGGUCCUAAGGUAGCGAAAUUCCUUGUCGGGUAAGUUCCGACCCGCACGAAAGGCGUAACGAUCUGGGCACUGUCUCAACGAGAGACUCGGUGAAAUUAUAUUACCUGUGAAGAUGCAGGUUACCCGCGACAGGACGGAAAGACCCCAUGGAGCUUUACUGUAGCUUGAUAUUGGGUGUUGACACAGCUUGUACAGGAUAGGUCGGAGCCGUAGAACUCGGAACGCUAGUUUCGAGUGAGGCGCUGGUGGGAUACGACCCUCGCUGUGUGAACACUCUAACCCGCACCACUUAUCGUGGUGGGAGACAGUGUCAGGUAGGCAGUUUGACUGGGGCGGUCGCCUCCUAAAAAGUAACGGAGGCGCCCAAAGGUUCUCUCAG